UGGGGAAUAUUGCACAAUGGGCGCAAGCCUGAUGCAGCCAUGCCGCGUGUGUGAAGAAGGCCUUCGGGUUGUAAAGCACUUUCAGCGAGGAGGAAGGGUAGUGUGUUAAUAGCACAUUGCAUUGACGUUACUCGCAGAAGAAGCACCGGCUAACUCCGUGCCAGCAGCCGCGGUAAUACGGAGGGUGCAAGCGUUAAUCGGAAUUACUGGGCGUAAAGCGCACGCAGGCGGUUUGUUAAGUCAGAUGUGAAAUCCCCGCGCUUAACGUGGGAACUGCAUUUGAAACUGGCAAGCUAGAGUCUUGUAGAGGGGGGUAGAAUUCCAGGUGUAGCGGUGAAAUGCGUAGAGAUCUGGAGGAAUACCGGUGGCGAAGGCGGCCCCCUGGACAGAGACUGACGCUCAGGUGCGAAAGCGUGGGGAGCAAACA
This 427-nucleotide ribosomal RNA is filed under the name uncultured bacterium. RNAcentral describes it as "partial 16S ribosomal RNA". It matches the Rfam family "Bacterial small subunit ribosomal RNA", at positions 355 to 774 of the family's 1533-position model. The record is from RNAcentral.